UACGAAGGGGGCUAGCGUUGUUCGGAAUUACUGGGCGUAAAGCGCACGUAGGCGGACAUUUAAGUCAGGGGUGAAAUCCCAGAGCUCAACUCUGGAACUGCCUUUGAUACUGGGUGUCUUGAGUAUGGAAGAGGUGAGUGGAAUUCCGAGUGUAGAGGUGAAAUUCGUAGAUAUUCGGAGGAACACCAGUGGCGAGGGCGGCUCACUGGUCCAUUACUGACGCUGAGGUGCGAAAGCGUGGGGAGCAAACAGG
This 253-nucleotide ribosomal RNA is filed under the name uncultured bacterium. Its description in RNAcentral is "partial 16S ribosomal RNA". It matches the Rfam family "Bacterial small subunit ribosomal RNA", at positions 524 to 776 of the family's 1533-position model. The record is from RNAcentral.